AGCUCCAAUAGCGUAUAUUAAAGUUGUUGCGGUUAAAAAGCUCGUAGUUGGAUUUCUGUCGAAGACGUCCGGUCCGCUCUAUGAGCGUGUAUCUGGUUCGGCUUUGGCAUCCUCGUGGGGAACGCUACUGUGCUUGAUUGCAUGGUGCGGUAUUCACGACUUUUACUUUGAGGAAAUUAGAGUGUUCACGGCAGGCAAGCGCCUUGAAUAUAUUAGCAUGGAAUAAUAAUAUAGGACUUUGGUUCUAUUUUGUUGGUUUCUAGAACUAAAGUAAUGAUUAAUAGGGAUAAUUGGGGGCAUUUGUACUAUGAUGUCAGAGGUGGAAUUCUUGGAUUAUCAUAUGACAAACUACUGCGAAAGCAUUUGCCAAGGAUGUUUUCA
RNAcentral lists this ribosomal RNA (381 nucleotides) under uncultured eukaryote. RNAcentral's name for it is "SSU rRNA". It matches the Rfam family "Eukaryotic small subunit ribosomal RNA", at positions 587 to 972 of the family's 1831-position model. The record is from RNAcentral.